This 376-nucleotide ribosomal RNA is filed under the name uncultured bacterium. RNAcentral's name for it is "bacterial SSU rRNA". It matches the Rfam family "Bacterial small subunit ribosomal RNA", at positions 30 to 404 of the family's 1533-position model. The record is from RNAcentral.
AUUGAACGCUGGCGGCAUGCCUUACACAUGCAAGUCGAACGGCAGCACGGGAGCAAUCCUGGUGGCGAGUGGCGAACGGGUGAGUAAUAUAUCGGAACGUGCCCAGUCGUGGGGAUAACGUAGCGAAAGCUACGCUAAUACCGCAUACGAUCUACGGAUGAAAGCGGGGGAUCGCAAGACCUCGCGCGAUUGGAGCGGCCGAUAUCAGAUUAGGUAGUUGGUGAGGUAAAGGCUCACCCAAGCCGGACGAUCUGUAGCUGGUCCUGAGAGGACGACCAGCCACACUGGGACUGAGACACGGCCCAGACUCCUACGGGAGGCAGCAGUGGGGAAUUUUGGACAAUGGGCGCAAGCCUGAUCCAGCAAUGCCGCGUGC